CGACCGGCGCACGGGUGAGUAACGCGUAUGCAACUUACCUAUCAGAGGGGGAUAGCCCGGCGAAAGUCGGAUUAAUACCCCAUAAAACAGGGUCCCGCAUGGGAAUAUUUGUUAAAGAUUCAUCGCUGAUAGAUAGGCAUGCGUUCCAUUAGGCAGUUGGCGGGGUAACGGCCCACCAAACCGACGAUGGAUAGGGGUUCUGAGAGGAAGGUCCCCCACAUUGGUACUGAGACACGGACCAA
RNAcentral lists this ribosomal RNA (242 nucleotides) under uncultured bacterium. RNAcentral describes it as "partial 16S ribosomal RNA". It matches the Rfam family "Bacterial small subunit ribosomal RNA", at positions 92 to 334 of the family's 1533-position model. The record is from RNAcentral.